This 484-nucleotide ribosomal RNA is filed under the name uncultured bacterium. RNAcentral's name for it is "partial 16S ribosomal RNA". It matches the Rfam family "Bacterial small subunit ribosomal RNA", at positions 30 to 507 of the family's 1533-position model. The record is from RNAcentral.
AUUGAACGCUGGCGGCAGGCCUAACACAUGCAAGUCGAGCGGAUGAAGGGAGCUUGCUCCUGGAUUCAGCGGCGGACGGGUGAGUAAUGCCUAGGAAUCUGCCUGGUAGUGGGGGAUAACGUCCGGAAACGGGCGCUAAUACCGCAUACGUCCUGAGGGAGAAAGUGGGGGAUCUUCGGACCUCACGCUAUCAGAUGAGCCUAGGUCGGAUUAGCUAGUUGGUGGGGUAAAGGCCUACCAAGGCGACGAUCCGUAACUGGUCUGAGAGGAUGAUCAGUCACACUCGAACUGAGACACGGUCCAGACUCCUACGGGAGGCAGCAGUGGGGAAUAUUGGACAAUGGGCGAAAGCCUGAUCCAGCCAUGCCGCGUGUGUGAAGAAGGUCUUCGGAUUGUAAAGCACUUUAAGUUGGGAGGAAGGGCAGUAAGUUAAUACCUUGCUGUUUUGACGUUACCAACAGAAUAAGCACCGGCUAACUUCGUG